This 480-nucleotide ribosomal RNA is filed under the name uncultured bacterium. Its description in RNAcentral is "bacterial SSU rRNA". It matches the Rfam family "Bacterial small subunit ribosomal RNA", at positions 26 to 518 of the family's 1533-position model. The record is from RNAcentral.
AGGACGAACGCUGGCGGCGUGCUUAACACAUGCAAGUUGAACGGGACGGAUAUUGAAGCGACUUUCGGAGUGGUGGAUAUAUUGUUUAGUAGCGGACGGGUGAGUAAUGCAUGAGAACCUGCCCUCAGAGGGGGACAACAGUUGGAAACGGCUGCUAAUACCCCAUAUGCCGAGAGGUGAAAGGAGCGAUCCGCUGAAGGAGUGGCUCAUGUCCUAUCAGCUAGUUGGUGAGGUAAGUGCUCACCAAGGCGAUGACGGGUAGCCGGCCUGAGAGGGCGACCGGCCACACUGGAACUGAGAUACGGUCCAGACUCCUACGGGAGGCAGCAGUGGGGAAUAUUGGGCAAUGGGCGGAAGCCCUGACCCAGCGACGCCGCGUGAGGGAAGAAGGCCUUUGGGUCGUAAACCUCUGUUGUAUGGGAAGAAGGAAGUGACGGUACCAUACGAGGAAGUCCCGGCUAACUACGUGCCAGCAGCCGC